GACGAACGCUGGCGGCGUGCUUAACACAUGCAAGUCGGACGGGAAGGGCCUGUUUUUGUGGGGGGCGCGAGUGGAGAGCGGGUGAGUAACCCGUGAGUAAGCUGCCCAUGGCUGGGGGAUGACGUCAGGACACCGGGGGUAAUAGCGGAUAGGGGCGACUGCUGCAUGGUGGGGGUUGGAAAGUGUCGGCGGUGGGGGAGGGGCUCGCGGCUUAUCAGGUUGUGGUUGGGGGAGUGGCCGACCACGGGUUUGACGGGUAGCCGGCCUGAGAGGGUGACCGGCCACAUUGCGACGGCGAUGCGGCCCCGCCUCCUACGGCGGGCAGCAGUGGGGAAUAUUGCACCAUGGGCGGAAGCCUCAUGCCGCAACGCCGCGUGCGGGAUGUCGGCCGUCGAGUUGUCGUCCGCUUUCGCCUGUGACGAAGCGUGAGUGACGGUAAUUGGUAAAGAAGCACCGGCUAACUACGUG
RNAcentral lists this ribosomal RNA (468 nucleotides) under uncultured bacterium. RNAcentral describes it as "partial 16S ribosomal RNA". It matches the Rfam family "Bacterial small subunit ribosomal RNA", at positions 28 to 507 of the family's 1533-position model. The record is from RNAcentral.